Molecule: long non-coding RNA, 353 nt
Organism: Epinephelus fuscoguttatus (brown-marbled grouper)
Lineage: Eukaryota; Metazoa; Chordata; Actinopteri; Perciformes; Serranidae
Exons: 3
Source: RefSeq, a predicted model, not a curated record
GAAUGAUUUGCAGGCUCCCGAGGUGCUCUGUUUUUUAUUAGGACGUCCUGAUGUGUUCGAGGGUGAGGAGGAGCUCCACUCCUUCAGUCAGUGCCUGGAGGUAUUGAAGAAACGACUUGAUGACAAGAGUGACAGGACCGGGAGGCUCUUGAUGGACCCUGUGAGGAGUCCGUGUUUUCUGCCCUGAAUUCUUUCCGCCCAACAGAGCGCCACAUUAGACGGCUGCAGCCAUCUGCAGGACAUCAACUUACAGUCUUUUCCCACCAGUCUUCACCAGACCUUCAGCUCUCUGAUGCUUACGCUGCUGGUGACGUCCCACAGACUCGUUUGUGUUUAGAAAACGGAGGAGAAAC